AACGAACGCUGGCGGCAUGCCUAACACAUGCAAGUCGAACGAGACCUUCGGGUCUAGUGGCGCACGGGUGCGUAACGCGUGGGAACCUGCCCUUAGGUUCGGAAUAACUCCCCGAAAGGGGUGCUAAUACCGGAUAAUGUCUUCGGACCAAAGAUUUAUCGCCUUUGGAUGGGCCCGCGUUGGAUUAGCUAGUUGGUAGGGUAAAAGCCUACCAAGGCGACGAUCCAUAGCUGGUCUGAGAGGAUGAUCAGCCACACUGGGACUGAGACACGGCCCAGACUCCUACGGGAGGCAGCAGUGGGGAAUAUUUGACAAUGGGCGAAAGCCUGAUCCAGCAACGCCGCGUGAGUGAUGAAGGCCGUAGGGUUGUAAAGCUCUUUUACCCGGGAAGAUAAUGACAGUACCGGGAGAAUAAGCUCCGGCUAACUCCGUG
This 433-nucleotide ribosomal RNA is filed under the name uncultured bacterium. RNAcentral's name for it is "partial 16S ribosomal RNA". It matches the Rfam family "Bacterial small subunit ribosomal RNA", at positions 29 to 507 of the family's 1533-position model. The record is from RNAcentral.